AGGUAAGGUGGCUGAGUAAGCGGCGGGUUGUAGCCCCGAAGACAGAGGUUUAAGUCCUCUCUUUACC
RNAcentral lists this transfer RNA (67 nucleotides) under Rhacophorus poecilonotus. RNAcentral describes it as "tRNA-Tyr". It matches the Rfam family "tRNA". From Rfam's summary of the family: Transfer RNA (tRNA) molecules are approximately 80 nucleotides in length. Their secondary structure includes four short double-helical elements and three loops (D, anti-codon, and T loops). The record is from RNAcentral. Lineage: Eukaryota; Metazoa; Chordata; Amphibia; Anura; Rhacophoridae.